AGCUUUAUAUUCAAUUAUUGAUUUUAAAUUGCAAAUUUAAAGGUGUAUAUUAUACUAAGGCUU
This 63-nucleotide transfer RNA is filed under the name Pharnaciini sp. NS-2020. Its description in RNAcentral is "tRNA-Cys". The record is from RNAcentral. Lineage: Eukaryota; Metazoa; Arthropoda; Insecta; Phasmatodea; Phasmatidae.